GACGAACGCUGGCGGCGUGCUUAACACAUGCAAGUCGAACGGAAAGGCCCUUCGGGGUACUCGAGUGGCGAACGGGUGAGUAACACGUGGGUGAUCUGCCCUGCACUUUGGGAUAAGCCUGGGAAACUGGGUCUAAUACCAAAUAGGACCACGCGCUUCAUGGUGUGUGGUGGAAAGCUUUUGCGGUGUGGGAUGGGCCCGCGGCCUAUCAGCUUGUUGGUGGGGUAAUGGCCUACCAAGGCGACGACGGGUAGCCGGCCUGAGAGGGUGACCGGCCACACUGGGACUGAGAUACGGCCCAGACUCCUACGGGAGGCAGCAGUGGGGAAUAUUGCACAAUGGGCGCAAGCCUGAUGCAGCGACGCCGCGUGAGGGAUGACGGCCUUCGGUUGGUAACCUCUUUCUAAUAGGGACGAAGACGUGAGUGACGGUACCUAUAGAAGAAGCACCGGCCAACUACGUGCCAGCAGCCGCGGUAA
Molecule: ribosomal RNA, 479 nt
Filed under: uncultured bacterium
Lineage: Bacteria
Description: bacterial SSU rRNA
Rfam family: Bacterial small subunit ribosomal RNA
Source: RNAcentral